CCUACGGGUGGCAGCAGUGGGGAAUAUUGGGCAAUGGACGCAAGCCUGACCCAGCAACGCCGCGUGAAGGAAGAAGGCCCUCGGGUUGUAAACUUCUUUUAUUAGGGACGAAACAAAUGACGGUCCCUGAUUAAUAAGCCACGGCUAACUACGUGCCAGCAGCCGCGGUAAUACGUAGGUGGCAAGCGUUAUCCGGAUUUACUGGGUGUAAAGGGCGGGUAGGCGGGGGAGCAAGUCAGACGUGAAAUUCCAGGGCUCAACCCUGGAACUGCGUUUGAAACUGUUCUUCUUGAGUGAGGGAGAGGCAGGCGGAAUUCCGUGUGUAGCGGUGAAAUGCGUAGAUAUACGGAGGAACACCAGUGGCGAAGGCGGCCUGCUGGACAGUAACUGACGCUGAGGCGCGAAAGCGUGGGGAGCAAACAGGAUUAGAUACCCGGGUAGUC
This 443-nucleotide ribosomal RNA is filed under the name uncultured bacterium. Its description in RNAcentral is "partial 16S ribosomal RNA". It matches the Rfam family "Bacterial small subunit ribosomal RNA", at positions 338 to 795 of the family's 1533-position model. The record is from RNAcentral.